This 488-nucleotide ribosomal RNA is filed under the name uncultured bacterium. Its description in RNAcentral is "bacterial SSU rRNA". It matches the Rfam family "Bacterial small subunit ribosomal RNA", at positions 28 to 521 of the family's 1533-position model. The record is from RNAcentral.
GACGAACGCUGGCGGCGUGCCUAACACAUGCAAGUCGAACGGAGAUGCCGAGGUAGCUUGCUACAUUGGUAUCUUAGUGGCGGACGGGUGAGUAACACGUGGGCAACCUGCCCCAAAGAGGGGGAUAACACCGAGAAAUCGGUGCUAAUACCGCAUAAUAUUAGAGCUUCGCAUGGAGCUUUAAUCAAAGGAGCAAUCCGCUUUGGGAUGGGCCCGCGUCUGAUUAGCUAGUUGGUGAGGUAAUGGCUCACCAAGGCGACGAUCAGUAGCCGAUCUGAGAGGAUGACCGGCCACACUGGAACUGAGACACGGUCCAGACUCCUACGGGAGGCAGCAGUGGGGAAUAUUGCACAAUGGGGGAAACCCUGAUGCAGCAACGCCGCGUGGAGGAAGAAGGUCUUCGGAUUGUAAACUCCUGUCUUCUGGGACGAAGUAUGACGGUACCAGAGGAGGAAGCCACGGCUAACUACGUGCCAGCGAGCCGCGGU